CAAGUCGAACGAUGAAGUGGAGCUUGCUCCACGGAUUAGUGGCGAACGGGUGAGGAACACGUGAGAAACCUGCCUCGGAUUUUGGGAUAACAAAUGGAAACGUUUGCUAAUACCAAAUAACGUCGGAGAGUCACAUGACUUUCUGACGAAAGGAAUUCCGAUUCGAGAGGGUCUCGCGGCCUAUCAGCUUGUUGGCGGGGUAAUGGCCCACCAAGGCAACGACGGGUAGCUGGUCUGAGAGGAUGGUCAGCCACACUGGGACUGAGACACGGCCCAGACUCCUACGGGAGGCAGCAGUGGGGAAUCUUGCGCAAUGGGCGAAAGCCUGACACAGCAACGCCGCGUGCGGGAAGAAGGCUUUCGGGCUGUAAACCGCUUUCAGCAGGAACGAAAAUGACGGUACCUGCAGAAGAAGGAGCGGCCAACUAUGUGCCAGCAGCCGCGGUGAUACAUAGGCUUCAAGCGUUGUCCGGAUUUAUUGGGCGUAAAGAGUUCGUAGGCGGUCGAGUAAGUCGGGUGUGAAAAUUCUGGGCUCAACCCAGAGACGCCACCCGAUACUGCUUAACUUGAGUUCGAUAGGGGAGUGGGGAAUUCCUAGUGUAGCGGUGAAAUGCGCAGAUAUUAGGAGGAACACCGGUGGCGAAGGCGCCACUCUGGAUCGACACUGACGCUGAGGAACGAAAGCAUGGGUAGCAAACAGGAUUAGAUACCCUGGUAGUCCAUGCGGUAAACGGUGGGCACUAGGUGUGGGUUUCUAUUAACGAAAUCCGCGCCGUCGCUAACGCAUUAAGUGCCCCGCCUGGGGAGUACGGUCGCAAGACUAAAACUCAAAGGAAUUGACGG
Molecule: ribosomal RNA, 843 nt
Filed under: uncultured bacterium
Lineage: Bacteria
Description: bacterial SSU rRNA
Rfam family: Bacterial small subunit ribosomal RNA
Source: RNAcentral